GAGUGAGGAAUGAAUAAGGCAUGGUACACAACUACAAUGAUUGAGAGGCAAUGAAAAGUUAAGAGGCACAAAGCUCAGCAGAGAUGAUGAUGAUGGAUGUUGUGUACGUGUUCUUGAGUGAUGCUGGAUAUGAUGUUGGGGUAGCAUAGCAGGAGCUGUAAUA
Ipomoea nil (Japanese morning glory) is the source of this 163-nucleotide long non-coding RNA. RefSeq lists it as uncharacterized. Lineage: Eukaryota; Viridiplantae; Streptophyta; Magnoliopsida; Solanales; Convolvulaceae. The record is from RefSeq and is a predicted model, not a curated record. The transcript has 3 exons.